AAUUGGAUUGAGAACAACGUACAACUCUUAUCGAUAAGCCAUUGGAGGGCAAGUCUGGUGCCAGCAGCCGCGGUAAUUCCAGCUCCAAUAGCGUAUAUUAACGUUGUUGCAGUUAAAAAGCUCGUAGUUGAAGUGAGGGAGUGUGUGUUCAUGAGAGUUAGUCUCGAGUGUUCACAACCUCCCCCCUCCGAUCGGUGUAGUGGGGUAUUCAGUUAUUUCACCACUCCUUUGGUCGUUUACUGUGAGAAAAUUAGAGUGUUCAAAGCGGGCGUUUGUUUGAAUAGAUUAGCAUGGAAUAACGAUUGAAGGCUUUCGUGUUCGAUUUGAUUGGUUUGUUCAUGGAAGCAAGGUUAAAAGGAACAGUUGGGGGUAUUCAUAUUCACUAGUUAGAGGUGAAAUUCUCGGAUUUAUGGAAGAUGAACAGGUGCGAAAGCAUUUACCAAGGAUGUUUUCAUUAAUCAAGAACGAAAGCUAGGGGAUCGAAGAGGAUUAGAUACCCUCGUAGUCUUAGCUAUAAACGAUACCGACUAGGGGUUAGUAGAGGUCAAUGUGUCUCUAUUAGUACCUUAUGAGAAAUCAAAGUCUUUGGGUUCCGGGGGGAGUAUGGUCGCAAGGCUGAAACUUAAAGGAAUUGACGGAAGGGCACCACCAGGAGUGGAGCCUGCGGCUUAAUUUGACCAAACACGGGGAAACUUACCAGGUCCAGACAUAGGAAGGAUUGACAGAUUGAUAGCUCUUUCUUGAUUCCAUGGGUGGUGGUGCAUGGCCGUUCUUAGUUGGUGGAGUGAUUUGUCUGGCUAAUUCCGAUAACGAACGAGACCUCCGCCUUUAACUAGUGUUGGCUAUUGUGAUAGCUGAUACUUCUUGGAGGGACACUAUACGUAAAGUGUAGGGAAGCUGGAGGCAAUAACAGGUCUGUGAUGCCCUUAGAUGUUCUGGGCUGCACGCGCGCGACACUGAUCUAUUCAACGAGUGGCUGUGUCGAUAGACUUGGCAAAUCUUGUGAAAGUAGAUCGUGAUGGGGAUUGAUGCUUGUAAUUGUUCAUCAUGAACGAGGAAUUCCUAGUAAACGCAAGUCAUCAACUUGCAUUGAUUACGUCCCUGCCCUUUGUACACACCGCCCGUCGCACCUACCGAUUGAAUGGUCCGGUGAACACUUUGGAUUUUAGGCGAAUGAACUGUAAAAGGGGAGUUCGUUUGGGAGAAGUCGUGUAAAUCUUAUCAU
RNAcentral lists this ribosomal RNA (1225 nucleotides) under metagenome. RNAcentral's name for it is "SSU rRNA". It matches the Rfam family "Eukaryotic small subunit ribosomal RNA", at positions 507 to 1772 of the family's 1831-position model. The record is from RNAcentral.